Molecule: ribosomal RNA, 510 nt
Filed under: uncultured bacterium
Lineage: Bacteria
Description: partial 16S ribosomal RNA
Rfam family: Bacterial small subunit ribosomal RNA
Source: RNAcentral
GACGAACGCUGGCGGCGUGCUUAACACAUGCAAGUCGAACGAAGAGCGACGGAAGCUUGCUUCUAUCAAUCUUAGUGGCGCACGGGUGAGUAACGCGUAAUCAACCUGCCCUUCAGAGGGAGAACACAGUGGGACGCGAGCGAAUAUAGCGUAUGAGUUAAUAUCUCGGCAUAGCGGAUAGAUAAAAGGUGGUCUAUACCUGUAAGAUAACCAUGGGAGGGGGGAUUGAGUGAGAUUAGUGAGGUUGCGGGGUAACGGCCCACCAAGGCGAUGAUCAGUAGCCGGUCUGAGAGGAUGAACGGCCACAUUGGGACUGAGACACGGCCCAGACUCCUACGGGAGGCAGCAGUGGGGAAUCUUCCGCAAUGGACGAAAGUCUGACGGAGCAACGCCGCGUGAGUGAUGACGGCCUUCGGGUUGUAAAGCUCGGUUAAUCGGGACGAAAGGCCUUCUUGCGAAUAGUGAGAAGGAUUGACGGUACCGGAAUAGAAAGCCACGGCUAACUACGUG